GUGACUUGAUUAACGUUUAAGCAACAAAAACGACUUUUUAGCAACUUGAGCAUUUUUCUAUAAGCGGUCACCUGGGAUUGACAAUGCAACCAUGAGGGCUAUAAUGGCUCUGGCUUUAGUCAAGUAAGAGUACCUUUUCUAGCUUGUCACAUGUUACCUGUGUGGUGUAAAUGGAAAAUAGCAGACCUUGGAUCCCUGCGUGGU
RNAcentral lists this long non-coding RNA (204 nucleotides) under Sorghum bicolor (sorghum). RNAcentral's name for it is "long non-coding RNA (SBIC_LNC009371)". The record is from RNAcentral. Lineage: Eukaryota; Viridiplantae; Streptophyta; Magnoliopsida; Poales; Poaceae.